Molecule: unclassified non-coding RNA, 178 nt
Filed under: Glomus indicum
Lineage: Eukaryota; Fungi; Glomeromycota; Glomeromycetes; Glomerales; Glomeraceae
Description: partial internal transcribed spacer region
Rfam family: Eukaryotic small subunit ribosomal RNA (bases 1-46)
Source: RNAcentral
AAGUCGUAACAAGGUUUCCGUAGGUGAACCUGCGGAAGGAUCAUUACCAAUAUAGCGAACCGAGCGUUAGCGAGGCUUCGCGAUCAAAUUUGUAUUUAAAACCCAACUCUUUAAAUGUAUAUUAUUAUUGUAUUUUAAAUAAUAAAGAUCACUUUCAACAACGGAUCUCUUGGUUCUC